RNAcentral lists this transfer RNA (89 nucleotides) under Bacteroides sp. CAG:545. Its description in RNAcentral is "transfer RNA-Leu(TAA)". It matches the Rfam family "tRNA". Rfam says of the family: Transfer RNA (tRNA) molecules are approximately 80 nucleotides in length. Lineage: Bacteria; Pseudomonadati; Bacteroidota; Bacteroidia; Bacteroidales; Bacteroidaceae. RNAcentral also lists the same sequence under 1 other name. The record is from RNAcentral.
GCUUUGGUGGUGGAAUUGGUAGACACGAGGGACUUAAAAUCCCUUGGGCAGCAAUGCCUGUACGGGUUCAAGUCCCGUCCGAAGCACAA